This 579-nucleotide long non-coding RNA is filed under the name Mytilus galloprovincialis (Mediterranean mussel). Lineage: Eukaryota; Metazoa; Mollusca; Bivalvia; Mytilida; Mytilidae. The record is from RNAcentral.
CAUGCAUGAGUCACCACAUGUUAAUUAUACGGCAUUCUUUAUAUUUUAAAAUGUGUAUUUACUAAAGAUAAAAAGAAUUCUCACGGUAUAAAUGUAUUCGUACGUUUAUUGAUUAAUGUGGGGGAAAAUGUAUCAUUUCGGAUGAGUGUUUCAAUUUAAACAUGUCAAACUUUAAUUACUUGUGCAUUACAUAUACAUUUCGACAAAAUAAAGAUCAGUAUAUACUUAAAGAAAACUUGAAUAGUAAACUCACCGCAUAUAAUCGUUAAAUCCAAUGGAUAAUAAAUAUAUUUAGACGACACACAUCAAAAUUAUACCGAUAACGCACAUGUGAAAAACAACACAUAUUGUGCCCAAUAUUAAUGGAAACACGGAUCAUACCGAUAACGGAGUUGAUUCCGGAAAAAUUUAAUACUAAGAAAAAGAGAAAAAGAAACACAAUAUAAUGUAUGUGUAAUCACAAUAUUUUAAUCAAAUAAAUUUUGUGAAAUGACUUAUGUUAUGAAUACUAAUAUUAUGAAGAAAUAAUAUCUUGCCAAAUAGUGCUUCCCUUAACUAUUAGGUAAGCUAACAAGAGGG